UUGGAGGGCAAGUCUGGUGCCAGCAGCCGCGGUAAUUCCAGCUCCAAUAGCGUAUAUUAAAGUUGUUGCAGUUAAAAAGCUCGUAGUUGAAUUUCGGGGUCAGUAGGUCGGUCGUGCCACUGGUAUGAACUGGUUUUACUGAUUCCUCCCUCUUGAAGAACUGUAAUGCCAUUAAUUUGGUGUUGCAGGGAAUCAGGACUGUUACUUUGAAAAAAUUAGAGUGUUUAAAGCAGGCUUUAGCUUGAAUACAUUAGCAUGGAAUAAUGAAAUAGGACGUUUGAUCCUAUUUUGUUGGUUUCUAGGAUUGACGUAAUGAUUAAUAGGGAUAGUUGGGGGCAUUAGUAUUCAAUUGUCAGAGGUGAAAUUCUUGGAUUUAUUGAAGACUAACUUCUGCGAACGCAUUUGCCAAGGAUGUUUUCAUUAAUCAAGAACGAAAGUUAGGGGAUCGAAGACGAUCAGAUACCGUCGUAGUCUUAACCAUAAACUAUGCCGACUAGGGAUCGGACGAUGUUAAUUUUUUAACGACUCGUUCGGCGCCUUACGGGAAAC
Molecule: ribosomal RNA, 549 nt
Filed under: uncultured Rhizophagus
Lineage: Eukaryota; Fungi; Glomeromycota; Glomeromycetes; Glomerales; Glomeraceae
Description: SSU rRNA
Rfam family: Eukaryotic small subunit ribosomal RNA
Source: RNAcentral